Molecule: long non-coding RNA, 2833 nt
Organism: Leptinotarsa decemlineata (Colorado potato beetle)
Lineage: Eukaryota; Metazoa; Arthropoda; Insecta; Coleoptera; Chrysomelidae
Source: RefSeq, a predicted model, not a curated record
GUAUUCAUGGUGGUCCAUCGAGUUGUAUUAGAAAUGGUAUAAUUUUGUAGUGAAAAAAAGGAUCAAUUCUUCCAGAACAAAUCAAGAGUAAUUUAAAGUUUUCUAUCUUCUCUUUAUAUAAUAAGCAAGGUAUUGGUUAGUUUUGAUUGUUUUAACCUGAAUCAACAUCAGAGAGAUAUUUUAUUAUGUGGUGAUUGUUACUUUGAUAAAACAUUGUUUGAGAAUUCAACCAAGAUGGACACAAGAAUUCAUAAUAGUUCGAAUAAAACUUUGGAGUCGAUUUCAGUUUCUCAAAAGAAUGGUCGGAUCAUAUCGCUGCGCCUAUAGAACAACAAAUAAGAAACUCACAUUCCUUGAGGCUUCAGAACGUAUUCUUUCUACACGGUCUUAACCGAAGAUUCGUCGUACCUCACCCAACAGUUUUGUAGCCGACGUGGAAGGCAUCGAUUACGUAGUGUCCCAUGUUGGCCUCUUUGCCAUCGUGGUACACGACGACGAAAAGCUUCUACUACUACUCUUCUGGAGACUGUGACAAAACCUGUAUCGAAUCAAUUUUGAAUGGGAUUUCAAAUUCCAAAGACUUGAUUAAUCUUCGUGCAACCAACAUGACUGUAAAUGAAAAACUUCAAAUGCAAUAUGAGGAUAACGGAAGGUUCGCAGAGCAAUAUUUGCUCUCACGCUUCGUCCUGGUCAUCAGUCUUCGACGAAAUCGUCCUCUCUCAUCUGUUUUUGGAGACUAAUACCUCAAGCGCAUCGUCACGAAGGAGGAUAGUUUUGAGUCAUGUUUACCUUUAAGUAUAUUCCCUUUUAAUCAUUUUAAUCAACAACAGUUUCAACUCUGUCCAACUGACUGAGUCAUCGCCUAAUUGCUGAAUUAAUCGCAGAUGAAAGAAGUGAAUAUUUACCCAAGAUAUAUUUCUUGCAGGUCAGUCAUAACGGGAUUUUUUUCACCCUAAUGUCGGCAAUGCUGAAAAUUCUCUGUUAGAUUCCCAAAAUUACUUGUGAGACCAACGAAAAGAAGUUGAAAAGAAACUCUCAUAUCUAAAGUUUAAGAUAAAACGUAAAUGGUCUGUCGCAUUUCAAUAAAGGAACUUUUUCUUUCAAAAAAAUGACAGUUUGCUGCAAGGGAAAUUUGUUAUACCACAAAGAUGUCAGCAAACGAACUAAGAGAAAAAAACCGAAACAUUUAGUUAUGAAAUGAUUUCUGGAGAGUUAACUUUCGCUACUCAUAUAAAAUUGGAAUGUGAAGGCAAGACUGAUGAUUCAAAUUCACAAUGGGCAAAAACAGUAAUCAACACCACUGAAAAUGGUGAACUGAAAAAAAUUUUAGAUGAUCUUUUCACAUGUAUGUAGUACGGGAUUAUUGCUCUUGGUAUUUCAAAGACCUUUGACAGUGUAUUAUUCGAUAUAGUUUCCUUCGAGAGCGAUUUGUCUUUAGCCUCAAAAUAGGCCUCCGUUUCGACGAUUACCUCUUUAUUGGCGAUUAAUGGAUGUCCGAGAGCAGAAAAUAGUAUCUGGAAGCCAGAUCUUGAGAAUACGAUAGAUGCAGAAGUAAUUCAUGUGAUUUUGCCAUCGUUUUUAUUGAUUUGUGACACGGUGCAUUUUCUUGAUGCAACAGCACUUUCUUUUUCUCCAAAUGGGACCGUUUUUACGUGAUUUCGACACUCAAAUGCUCCAAUAACCCCAUGUAAUAGUAUCUGUUGAUGGUUUUUCCUUUUCAAGAUAGUCUAUGAAUAUUAUACCAUAUUAUACUCAUAUCAUAACCUUGCCAAUCGAAUGUUGCGUCAUUGCACGCUUUAAAGUCGGUUCACCACGUGCAAUCCACUCAGAUUAUGAUCGUUUUGAUUCUGGUAUGAAAUGGCGAAGCCACGUUUCAUCCAUUGUCACAUACAAAGCCUAAAUUCGGGUUUUUCGGGAUGGAACAGCUUCAAACAGGGCCCAGAAUCAUCAGUUCGUUGUUGUUUUUGGUCAACUGUAAGCUCGCGCGGCAUCCACUUUCAACAGACCUUUCGAUACCCAAAUAUUCAUGCACGAUAUGUCCAACAUGUUCCUUUGAUAUCUCCAGAGUCUCAGCUAUCUCGAGCAACUUCACGUUGCGGUCAUCCAAAAUUAUUUUGUUAACUCUUUUGACAUUUUCAUCGGUAAGAGCCUCUUUGGGGCGUCCACUGCGUGUAUCAUCCUAGGUGCUCAUUUCACCUCCUUUAAACUCGGCAAACCACUUCUCAACGGUUGAUUUUCCUGGUGCAAAGUCUGAACAAUGUUUAUCAAGCCAAGCCAUGGCUUCAAUAGUUUUUUUUGCCAAAAAGCAAUGCUUGAUUGACAGAGGAAAAUCCUUUUUAUCCCUUUUCUUCAAACUAACAAAAGUUGCUUCACUCAAAAUGUUCUAUCCCACAAACUAAUAGUCCGACAGCUGUGAAAUUUGUACACGUGUCUUUUGAGGGUUAGGGUUAACUGUAAAUUAUAUGGAUUUAUUAGUAGUAGCGCCAUCUGUUUGUUAGCAUACGAACUGUUCAGUACAUCUAUAUACUAUCAGCUGAUAAUACAUUUCUACGUGGACAAGUUUCAUAUUUAAUGAAGAUCAGGAGGAAAUUCGACUUGGGGUGAGAGUGAAUAAGUUGAACCGAACAAAAUCAUAUCAGGGCGCAAUAGCUGUGAAAGAAAAUAAUACACACCUCAGCGACUCAUGUAUUACAAAACUCAAAUUAGAACUUGGAAAUACUGCUCAGAUAUGCGAUUUAAAUGCUACUCAAUCGCCACUUCUGCACAGACACCGCUUCCAAAGCGCUUUUUCUUCUGCACUGUACAACAAUGAAAAAUACAUAUAUGUCUUACA